GAUGAACGCUGGCGGCGUGCCUAAUACAUGCAAGUCGAGCGAACAGACGAGGAGCUUGCUCCUCUGACGUUAGCGGCGGACGGGUGAGUAACACGUGGAUAACCUACCUAUAAGACUGGGAUAACUUCGGGAAACCGGAGCUAAUACCGGAUAACAUGUUGAACCGCAUGGUUCAACAGUGAAAGACGGUCUUGCUGUCACUUAUAGAUGGAUCCGCGCCUCAUUAGCUAGUUGGUAAGGUAACGGCUUACCAAGGCAACGAUGCGUAGCCGACCUGAGAGGGUGAUCCGCCACACUGGAACGGAGACACGGUCCAGACUCCUACGGGAGGCAGCAGUAGGGAAUCUUCCGCAAUGGGCGAAAUCCUGACGGAGCAACGCCGCGUGAGUGAAGAAGGUCUUCGGAUCGUAAAACUCUGUUAUUAGGGAAGAACAAAUGUGUAAGUAACUAUGCACGUCUUGACGGUACCUAAUCAGAAAGCCACGGCUAACUACGUG
Molecule: ribosomal RNA, 497 nt
Filed under: uncultured bacterium
Lineage: Bacteria
Description: partial 16S ribosomal RNA
Rfam family: Bacterial small subunit ribosomal RNA
Source: RNAcentral